This 992-nucleotide long non-coding RNA is filed under the name Gallus gallus (chicken). RNAcentral describes it as "lncRNA (ENSGALG00010002236.1)". The record is from RNAcentral. Lineage: Eukaryota; Metazoa; Chordata; Aves; Galliformes; Phasianidae.
GAUGAUAUUGCAAACUCAAGCUGGGAGGAUUGUUUCUGGAGGAUGCCAGCAGCAGAGGGCUACUAUCCCCCAGACACGAGCACCAGAGCCAACUCUGCACUUCCACAAGGACACUGACUUCAGGAAAUAAUUUCACCUGCUCAAAACCUUUUUGUUGUGGCAGUUCAGUGCCUUUGAGCUGUGCUUGGAGACCUCACGAACCAUACCUAAGAAAAGUGAUGAUUUAGCAGCUACAUAUUCUUUUGUGCCAGCCAGGUCCUUGAGUCUCUCUGGAAAGAUGAGCAGGGCCCAAGUGCCCCACACACUACUCAAGCAAUGACAGAGAAGGGGAAUAAAUGAAUCUUGCUAUCGCUUAGUUAGUGAAUGUAUUCCGAAUCUGUCAUGAAGGUACGUUCCAGUUCUGGUUUCAAGAACAAGAGGAUAGUCGAGACUUUUGUGGCAUCUAAUCAGAGCCUUCCCAAUCAAAUCCCAGCAAGCAAACCCACCAGCACGUUGGGCAGGGUAAGGUGGUGGUGCUGGGAAUGCUGCUGAGGAAAGUGAACUCCAGGAGUGGUGAGACCAGAAAUGAAUUUACAGCUUAGGCUACAUGGACUGUAAAGCUAUGCACACUAUGUACACUCCAUCUACUCUGUAGCUGUGCCUGACCACAUGGAGAAUAUCAGGAGUUUUUGGUGGUCACCAUGUAAUAUCUGUCACUGAUCUUAAAAUAUCCUAGGGCAAAAUAUUUUGGGGUUAGGUUAUAUUUUGGCCAGAUCAUAACAAUCAGAUACGUAGGCUUUGUAAACCAGGUUGAUGUCUCUUAACUUGUGUACUUGGUAACCAGCUUUGUGUCUGGUUAUUUCUGGUUAGUGUUUUACAGUACUACGUGAGCACUUCACCAUGUGCAGUGUAUUUCACUCUGCAACGAUUUGGUGAUGUAUGGAAUUAAUAUUAUGAAUCUUUACAGUUAUGGGCCUGGAAGUCCUAGAUGUAAACAAAUAAAUGCAUACAAG